ACCUGCGGAAGGAUCAUUACAGAGUUCAUGCCCUCACGGGUAGAUCUCCCACCCUUGCAUACAUACCUUUGUUGCCUUGGCGGGCCACGUCCGCGUGUCGGCUCCGGCUGGCUGCGCCCGCCAGAGGACCCAAACUCGUUUGUUUAGUGAUGUCUGAGUACUAUAUAAUAGUUAAAACUUUCAACAACGGAUCUCUUGGUUCUGGCAUCGAUGAAGAACGCAGCGAAAUGCGAUAAGUAAUGUGAAUUGCAGAAUUUAGUGAAUCAUCGAAUCUUUGAACGCACAUUGCGCCUCUUGGUAUUCCGAGGGGCAUGCCUGUCCGAGCGUCAUUAUGACCACUCAAGCCUGGCUUGGUGUUGGGGCUCGCGGUUCCGCGGCCCUUCAAAUCAGUGGCGGCGCCAUCCGGCUCUCAGCGUAGUAAUACUCCUCGCUACAGAGCCCGGGUGGAUGCUUGCCAGCAACCCCCAAUCUCACGGUUGACCUCGGAUCAGGUAGGGAUACCCGCUGAACUUAAGCAUAUCAAUAAGCGGAGGAAAAGAAACCAACAGGGAUUGCCUCAGUAACGGCGAGUGAAGCGGCAACAGCUCAAAUUUGAAAUCUGGCUCCCUCGGGGCCCGAGUUGUAAUUUGUAGAAGAUGCUUUGAGCGUGGCCCCGGUCUAAGUUCCUUGGAACAGGACGUCAUAGAGGGUGAGAAUCCCGUAUGUGACUGGGGUGCCUUCGUUCGUGUAAAGCUCUCUCGACGAGUCGAGUUGUUUGGGAAUGCAGCUCAAAAUGGGUGGUAAAUUUCAUCUAAAGCUAAAUAUUGGCCAGAGACCGAUAGCGCACAAGUAGAGUGAUCGAAAGAUGAAAAGCACUUUGGAAAGAGAGUUAAACAGUACGUGAAAUUGUUGAAAGGGAAGCGCUUGCAACCAGACUUGCACGCUGUUGAUCAUCCGAGGUUUUCCCCGGUGCACUCGGCAGCGUUCAGGCCAGCAUCGGUCUUGGUGGGCGGAUAAAGGCCUUGGGAAUGUAGCUUCUCUCGGGAGUGUUAUAGCCCUCGGUGCAAUGCGCCCUACCGGGAUCGAGGACCGCGCUUCGGCUAGGA
Molecule: ribosomal RNA, 1085 nt
Filed under: Helotiales sp. EF854
Lineage: Eukaryota; Fungi; Ascomycota; Leotiomycetes; Helotiales
Description: eukaryotic LSU rRNA
Rfam family: Eukaryotic large subunit ribosomal RNA (bases 478-1085)
Source: RNAcentral